ACACUCCUGCGGGAGGCAGCAGUGGGGAAUAUUGGACAAUGGGCGCAAGCCUGAUCCAGCCAUGCCGCGUGAGUGAUGAAGGCCCUAGGGUUGUAAAGCUCUUUCACCGGUGAAGAUAAUGACGGUAACCGGAGAAGAAGCUCCGGCUAACUUCGUGCCAGCAGCCGCGGUAAUACGAAGGGGGCUAGCGUUGUUCGGAUUUACUGGGCGUAAAGCGCACGUAGGCGGACUAUUAAGUCAGGGGUGAAAUCCCGGGGCUCAACCCCGGAACUGCCUUUGAUACUGGUAGUCUUUAGUUCGAGAGAGGUGAGUGGAAUUCCGAGUGUAGAGGUGAAAUUCGUAGAUAUUCGGAGGAACACCAGUGGCGAAGGCGGCUCACUGGCUCGAUACUGACGCUGAGGUGCGAAAGGGUGGGAAGCAAACAGGAUUAGAAACCCGAGUAGUCCCA
RNAcentral lists this ribosomal RNA (448 nucleotides) under uncultured organism. RNAcentral's name for it is "partial 16S ribosomal RNA". It matches the Rfam family "Bacterial small subunit ribosomal RNA", at positions 333 to 797 of the family's 1533-position model. The record is from RNAcentral.